GCGGUAAUACGAAGGGGGCUAGCGUUGUUCGGAAUCACUGGGCGUAAAGCGUAUGUAGGCGGAUCAAAAAGUUAGAUGUGAAAUCCCUGGGCUCAACCCAGGAACUGCAUUUAAAACUAGUGAUCUAGAAUUUGGUAAAGGUUAGUAGAAUUUCCAGUGUAGAGGUGAAAUUCGUAGAUAUUGGAAAGAAUACCAGAAGCGAAGGCGACUAACUAGGCCAUUUUUGACGCUGAGAUACGAAAGCGUGUGUAGCAAACAGGAUUAGAUACCCUGGUAGUCCACGCAGUAAACGAUGAGUGCUAGUCGCUGGUACAAUAGUAUCAGUGUCGAAGCUAACGCAUUAAGCACUCCGCCUGGGAAGUACGGUCGCAAGAUUAAAACUCAAAUAAAUUGACGGGGGCCCGCACAAGCGGUGGAGCAUGUGGUUUAAUUCGAAGCAACGCGAGGAACCUUACCAGGGCUUAAAUGGAAAAUGACAGGGGCAGAGACGCCCCCUUCUUCGGACAUUUUCAAGGUGCUGCAUGGUU
RNAcentral lists this ribosomal RNA (527 nucleotides) under uncultured Rickettsiales bacterium. RNAcentral describes it as "bacterial SSU rRNA". It matches the Rfam family "Bacterial small subunit ribosomal RNA", at positions 517 to 1050 of the family's 1533-position model. The record is from RNAcentral. Lineage: Bacteria; Pseudomonadati; Pseudomonadota; Alphaproteobacteria; Rickettsiales.